RNAcentral lists this ribosomal RNA (1234 nucleotides) under metagenome. Its description in RNAcentral is "bacterial LSU rRNA". It matches the Rfam family "Bacterial large subunit ribosomal RNA", at positions 1564 to 2808 of the family's 2925-position model. The record is from RNAcentral.
UGAAUACGAGAUGCUACGGCGUCGAAGCAGUCUAUGUCAUACUUCCAAGAAAAGCUCGCACUGUCAUAAACAAAUAAUGCCUGUACCAUAACCGACACAGGUGGGUAGGUAGAGUAUACUAAGGGGCGCGAGAUAACUCUCUCUAAGGAACUCGGCAAAAUGACUCCGUAACUUCGGGAGAAGGAGUGCCUUAUUUAUAAGGUUGCAAUAACAAGAUCCAAGCAACUGUUUAUCAAAAACACAGGUCUCCGCUAAGUCGUAAGACGAUGUAUGGGGGCUGACGCCUGCCCAGUGCCAGAAGGUUAAAGAAGUUGGUUAGCAUUCGCGAAGCUGAUAACUGAAGCCCUGGUGAACGGCGGCCGUAACAAUAACGGUCCUAAGGUAGCGAAAUUCCUUGUCGGGUAAGUUCCGACCCGCACGAAAGGCGUAAUGAUUUGGAUACUGUCUCGGAGAGGGGCUCAGUGAAAUAGACUUGUCUGUGAAGAUGCGGACUACCUGCACCAGGACAGAAAGACCCUAUGAAGCUUUACUGUAACUUGAGAUUGAAAUUGGACUUUACUUGCGCAGUAUAGGUGGGAGGCGUUGAUAAUAUUCUUGCGGGAUUAUUUGAGCCAUCAGUGAGAUACCACUCUUGUAAUGUUAGAUUUCUAACUUUGUAUCAUUAUCUGGUCAAAGGACAGUUUCAGGCGGGCAGUUUGACUGGGGCGGUCGCCUCCUAAACGGUAACGGAGGCGCACAAAGGUUUCCUCUGAACGGGUAGAAAUCGUAUCUAGAGUGUAAAGGCAUAAGGAAGCUUGACUGUGAGACCUACAAGUCGAGCAGGGACGAAAGUCGGUCUUAGUGAUCUGACGGUGCUGAGUGGAAAGGCCGUCACUCAACGGAUAAAAGUUACUCUAGGAUAACAGGCUGAUCUCCCCCAAGAGUUCACAUCGACGGGGAGGUUUGGCACCUCGAUGUCGGCUCAUCGCAUCCUGGGGCGGUAGUACGUCCCAAGGGUUGGGCUGUUCGCCCAUGAAAGCGGUACGCGAGCUGGGUUCAGAACGUCGUGAGACAGUUCGGUCCAUAUCCGGUGUAGGCGUUGGAAUAUUGAGAGGAGCCUUCUUUAGUACGAGAGGACCGAGAAGGACAUACCUCUGGUGUACCAGUUAUCGUGCCAACGGUAAAUGCUGGGUAGCUAUGUAUGGAGUGGAUAACCGCUGAAAGCAUCUAAGUGGGAAGCCCACCUCAAGAUAAG